AUUGAACGCUGGCGGCAUGCCUUACACAUGCAAGUCGAACGGCAGCGCGGGAGCAAUCCUGGCGGCGAGUGGCGAACGGGUGAGUAAUACAUCGGAACGUGCCCAAUCGUGGGGGAUAACGCAGCGAAAGCUGUGCUAAUACCGCAUACGAUCUACGGAUGAAAGCAGGGGAUCGCAAGACCUUGCGCGAAUGGAGCGGCCGAUGGCAGAUUAGGUAGUUGGUGAGGUAAAGGCUCACCAAGCCUUCGAUCUGGAGCUGGUCUGAGAGGACGACCAGCCACACUGGGACUGAGACACGGCCCAGACUCCUACGGGAGGCAGCAGUGGGGAAUUUUGGACAAUGGGCGAAAGCCUGAUCCAGCCAUGCCGCGUGCAGGAUGAAGGCCUUCGGGUUGUAAACUGCUUUUGUACGGAACGAAACGGCCUUUUCUAAUAAAGAGGGCUAAUGACGGUACCGUAAGAAUAAGCACCGGCUAACUACGUGC
Molecule: ribosomal RNA, 485 nt
Filed under: Variovorax sp.
Lineage: Bacteria; Pseudomonadati; Pseudomonadota; Betaproteobacteria; Burkholderiales; Comamonadaceae
Description: bacterial SSU rRNA
Rfam family: Bacterial small subunit ribosomal RNA
Source: RNAcentral